GCUCACAUGGAUCAGUUGGUAGAUCGCCUUCUAUAAUUUAACGGAGUAAUAUAUUCUAUAUGAAGGAGACGGAGGUUCGAACCCUCCUGUGGGCA
This is a non-coding RNA of Mycena leptocephala, 95 nucleotides long. Lineage: Eukaryota; Fungi; Basidiomycota; Agaricomycetes; Agaricales; Mycenaceae. The record is from the annotation of a GenBank genome assembly.